UAGCUCGAAUGAAAGAAAAGCCAACACGAAACCGCCCACACUGGCGCUUUGAAAUCUUCUGAAAGCUUCCUGACCUAUCUCAGGAUGACUUCGUGGAGCAGUUAGAGGACAAGUCGGCUCGAAUGCAGGAGGAAUCCGAACACCGUCGUGAAUUGGCUGUUGCGGACUAAUGGCAGCAUAGACUAACAUAACCAUAUCAGCCCCAAGCCAAUCUUCGGUUGAAAAGAAGGGAACUAAGCUCAUUCCGCUUACCAAGGAGCACAUGAAGCGCUAUAACGACUUGAUGCACGGCGAUUCACCGACUGAUGUUGCUGCCAAGUUUAUACCUGCACAUUCAUUGCCGUGAACUGGCAAACUUUCCUCCGUAUAUGCGAUAAAGCCAUUCCAGCUAUGUUCACACUUUUGGUUUUCGGGGCUGCCUCCCCGUUGCCCGAUUUACCAUUCCUGCGCUUAUACCAACCGUUUGCAAACUGUCGCAGUGUUUUCAAUAUUUCCAAGCCCAUCGAAAUUUCGUUUUGAGGGUCUUCUGGUUUCCCUCCGCGUAAGGGUAGGCAAAUCCUCCAAGUACGUGGUUCCUGUGCCAGUGAACUGCACGCAGUCUACAUCAUUUACAGCAUUUAUAUGCGGAGCAAAACCAACCACUGCUAUGAUUCCAUGGGGCAUUCGAAGAAAACCGUCCUGGACGCCUUAAAGGCCUCUCUGCCCACGAAAUCAUUGAAUGAUCACAAGGAGCCGUUCGGCGGCUAUUUGAUUGAGAGCGCACCGAAUGUGCGCCAACAAAUGAUUGCGAAGUAUUUAGCAGAAUGUUCGCAGAGAAUAUACAUAUCGCGAGAUCUGCGGAUCACCUUUUCACAGACGGAAAUCGAGUAUUUGCGCAGGAACAUGGUACUCAAAUUGUUUCCGGUGGCAUAUGGAACUCAGCCGAUUAUAUCGGGAUUCCAAAGCUGUGUCUAAAACAGCACAAUGACUAGUUCCCUUUUAGCACGUAGGGGAGAUUUAAGCUCUAUAUACGAAGUUCUGCGAUUGCAAAGAGUCCUCGAUGCCCAGAAAGAUCUCCGUGAGCAGGACGACGCUCUCCUUGGUGGAUUUUUGGGGGAUAGCUUCUUCCAUUAGUUUGUGACACUU
Drosophila takahashii is the source of this 1125-nucleotide non-coding RNA. NCBI's taxonomy places the organism in Eukaryota, Metazoa, Arthropoda, Insecta, Diptera, Drosophilidae. The record is from RefSeq and is a predicted model, not a curated record.